This 301-nucleotide ribosomal RNA is filed under the name uncultured bacterium. RNAcentral's name for it is "partial 16S ribosomal RNA". It matches the Rfam family "Bacterial small subunit ribosomal RNA", at positions 509 to 807 of the family's 1533-position model. The record is from RNAcentral.
CAGCCGCCGCGGGAAUACGGAGGGUGCAAGCGUUAAUCGGAAUUACUGGGCGUAAAGCGCACGCAGGCGGUCUGACAAGUCAGAUGUGAAAUCCCCGGGCUUAACCUGGGAACUGCAUUUGAAACUGUCAGGCUGGAGUCUUGUAGAGGGGGGUGGAAUUCCAGGUGUAGCGGUGAAAUGCGUAGAGAUCUGGAGGAAUACCGGUGGCGAAGGCGGCCCCCUGGACAAAGACUGACGCUCAGGUGCGAAAGCGUGGGGAGCAAACAGGAUUAGAUACCCCUGUAGUCCAUGUCUCUUAUAC